UACGAAGGGGGCUAGCGUUACUCGGAAUUACUGGGCGUAAAGCGUGCGUAGGUGGUUUGUUAAGUCUGAUGUGAAAGCCCUGGGCUCAACCUGGGAACGGCAUUGGAAACUGGCUUACUAGAGUGCGGUAGAGGGGUGUGGAAUUCCCGGUGUAGCAGUGAAAUGCGUAGAUAUCGGGAGGAACAUCUGUGGCGAAGGCGACACCCUGGACCAGCACUGACACUGAGGCACGAAAGCGUGGGGAGCAAACAGG
Molecule: ribosomal RNA, 253 nt
Filed under: uncultured bacterium
Lineage: Bacteria
Description: partial 16S ribosomal RNA
Rfam family: Bacterial small subunit ribosomal RNA
Source: RNAcentral